AAGUCGUAACAAGGUUUCCGUAGGUGAACCUGCGGAAGGAUCAUUAGUGAACGCCCUCACGGGCUUAUAACUAUUCCAAACCUCUGUGAACCGUGCCCUUCGGGGCUAUUUUACAAACAUGGUGUAAUGAACGUCAUAUAUCAUAACAAAACAAAACUUUCAACAACGGAUCUCUUGGCUCUCGCAUCGAUGAAGAACGCAGCGAAAUGCGAUAAGUAAUGUGAAUUGCAGAAUUCAGUGAAUCAUCGAAUCUUUGAACGCACCUUGCGCUCCUUGGUAUUCCGAGGAGCAUGCCUGUUUGAGUGUCAUUAAUAUAUCAACCUCUUCAGCUUUUGCAUGUUGAGUGUUGGAUGUGGGGGUAUUUUUGCUGGACUCUUUCCGAGGUCAGCUCCCCUAAAAUGCAUUAGCAAAACAAUUUGUUUACUGCUCAUUGGUGUAAUAACUAUCUACGCUAUUGACAGUCAAGCAGGUUUAGCUUCUAACAGUCCAUUAACUUGGACAAACCUUUUUAUUAAUGUGACCUCAAAUCAGGUAGGAUUACCCGCUGAACUUAA
This 554-nucleotide ribosomal RNA is filed under the name uncultured fungus. RNAcentral describes it as "eukaryotic LSU rRNA". The stretch from base 155 to 308 matches the Rfam family "5.8S ribosomal RNA". The record is from RNAcentral. Lineage: Eukaryota; Fungi.